UGGCGGACGGGUGAGUAACACGUGGGCAACCUGCCCAAAAGAGGGGGAUAACACUUGGAAACAGGUGCUAAUACCGCAUAACCAUAGUUACCGCAUGGUAACUAUGUAAAAGGUGGCUAUGCUACCGCUUUUGGAUGGGCCCGCGGCGCAUUAGCUAGUUGGUGGGGUAAAGGCUUACCAAGGCAAUGAUGCGUAGCCGAACUGAGAGGUUGAUCGGCCACAUUGGGACUGAGACACGGCCCAAACUCCUACGGAAGGCAGCAG
RNAcentral lists this ribosomal RNA (264 nucleotides) under uncultured bacterium. Its description in RNAcentral is "partial 16S ribosomal RNA". It matches the Rfam family "Bacterial small subunit ribosomal RNA", at positions 96 to 354 of the family's 1533-position model. The record is from RNAcentral.